This 377-nucleotide ribosomal RNA is filed under the name Conus excelsus. Its description in RNAcentral is "partial 12S ribosomal RNA". The record is from RNAcentral. Lineage: Eukaryota; Metazoa; Mollusca; Gastropoda; Neogastropoda; Conidae.
CCCCACUAUUUUUAGUCGUAAAUUUAAUUUGAUUUACCAGAGUACUACGAAUAAAAAGUUUAAAACUCAAAGAGCUUGGCGGUGUUUUAGACCUCUCAGGGGAACCUGUCUCAUAAUCGACAAUCCACGUUAAACCUGACCUUUAGUGGCAAAUCAGCUUGUAUACCGUCGUCGUCAGGUAACUUCUUAAAAUGUAGUAGUUAGCUCGAUAACUUUAUUAGUUAGGACGUCAGAUCAAGGUGCAGCUAAUAGAAAGGGGAGGAUGGGUUACAAUUAGAUAUUUAUAAUUACGGAAAACACUUGAAAUUAAGUGUCUAAAGGAGGACUUGAAAGUAAUUUUGAUUAUAUAAACGGAAUGAAUAAGGCUCUGAAACGUG